AGGAGAUGUUGUUUAAGGUUAAACUGUUAGAUUGCAAAUCUAUUCAUUUAGGGAUCAAUACCCUUCAUCUCUUA
Molecule: transfer RNA, 74 nt
Filed under: Pseudomonas laurentiana
Lineage: Bacteria; Pseudomonadati; Pseudomonadota; Gammaproteobacteria; Pseudomonadales; Pseudomonadaceae
Description: tRNA-Cys
Rfam family: tRNA
About the family: Transfer RNA (tRNA) molecules are approximately 80 nucleotides in length. Their secondary structure includes four short double-helical elements and three loops (D, anti-codon, and T loops).
Source: RNAcentral